UUACCUUUAUGGAUGAAUCUUUGUUUUUAGUAAAGUACAAUUUGCAUGACAAUAUUUGAAGUCUAAAAGUCGUUCUAAGCCUAUCUUGGGAGAAUGGGAUAGUACAUCCUCGACACUAAGGAUUCGUGUCUUCCGAGUGUGCAUCUCUUGAGCACCUUCUCCUCUGAUGGUUCUUCUUUCAAGGACCAUAUUCUCCCCGGCCGCUUAAUUGGUCCUCCUCUUAAAGACCACCUUCUUCUCGCAUGGUUCUCCUCUCAAGGAUCACCUUCUCAACAUGUGGGUUUCCUUUUUGGGGAGCACUCUCUCUUUUGCAUGGUUCUCUCAAAGAGCACCGACUCCACUCGUGGUUCUCCUCUCAAUGAGCACCAUUUCUUCAUGUGGUUCUCCUAUCAUGGAGCACCUUCUCUUCGCCAUCAUCUAUUACAAGAACCUUCUCCUCACGGCUAUCUCCUCAAAGAGCCUUUAAUUUCCUCGUGGCUAUAUCUUCCAAGGUCCUUCUCCUAGCUUUUUCUCCAAAAACCAUCUAUUCUAGUCUAGGCUAUCUCCUCCAAGUUUCAUCUCUUAGUUACUAUCUUCUGCAAGGACUUUCUCCUCAUGCCUAUUUACUCCAUGAAACUUCUCCUUGUCGCUAUCUUGUCCAAGGACCUUCUCCUCGUGUCUUUCUCCUUCAAGGAUAAUCUUUGGGGAAUAAAAUUUAGAAAAUUCAUUAUGUUCUAAACCCUAACCCUAUAUAAUGAUUUUUUUUUUUCAAGUUUAUUUUUUUUAAUUAUAUUAUUUUAGGAUCAAUUCAAUUACCAUAUAUUUACUAACUAAUGUUUAAACUUUUAUUGUAGGAAAUAUUUAUUUGAAUUUGAGGUGUGUCGAAAUUGUUGAAGAUUAAUUUUGAAGGGUUUGCUGAAGACAGGAGCAUUUUGCUGCAACAUUUUCAGAAGAAAAAAAAUAGGAGGAAAUAUCAGCUCAAAGAGAAGUGCAUGUGGCAUCACUUAUCCAGCUGUAAAAGGAGGCUGACGUGGCACAAAAGUGGGUACAGAUAUUAUAUCAGCAACUUUUAAGUGAGUGGGUCACGUGAGAGAGAAAAAAGGAGGGGUAAAAUUGGGAAAUAAGAAGAAGGAAAAGAGGGGGGUUGUACCCUAGCUAAUUAAGGAAAGAGCAGCCUCCAUUUUUUAUUAGACUUGAGCCACAAGUUUACUGCAGAAAACCAGAGAGAAAAUAGAGAAAAACGCCAGGAAGAAAUAGAAAGAGAUUUAAGGAAGAAGGAGUCUAACCAAAGAAGCUCAAGCAUCAUUUUGGAUUUGUUUUUCUCUUCUUUCUAAACUCUAUUGUAUUAAUUUCUGAGUUGGAUUCUAAACUGAAUAUUAUGGGCUAUUUUGAUUGUGAAUUAAUGUUUAUGAAAUCAUCCAUGAACUAAUUUCUUGGUGGCUUGAAUUGUUGAUGAAUCCUAUGUUAUAAUCUAUCCAUUUCUUGCA
This is a long non-coding RNA of Humulus lupulus (European hop), 1466 nucleotides long. RefSeq lists it as uncharacterized. The transcript has 2 exons. The record is from RefSeq and is a predicted model, not a curated record. NCBI's taxonomy places the organism in Eukaryota, Viridiplantae, Streptophyta, Magnoliopsida, Rosales, Cannabaceae.